CAUUGCUACAGCUCUGCCAAUCGACAAGUGGCUUCACAGACAGGAGCCUAAGUGAUAUGAUUGACAAAGAAGAAUAUGCGUUGGCAACAAGUGCUUGAUUCACAUUUUAAACAAAACACAGCAGGCGAAUUUCCCACUGAGUUCAACGUUUGGUCAAGGGAUACAAGUUCCUAUAAACACAUUAAUAGUUAUGCCGGCGACUAAAUCAAUCUCCUCAUCUAUCAACAGGCCAACAGCAGCAAGGGUCACAUCUGGGGAAGAGCCAGUUUAAGCUGCUAGAUUUUUCAAGCUACUUUCUCAAACAGAAAGGAGGCUGUGAAGACGGCACAGUGAAUGGAUACGUUCCUCUACUCUGCUACCAAGACCACGACAAAGCACGGGAAAGGAAACAUGACUCAGAUGAAUUCUCAAAUGAGGAAGCUCAUCCUUCUGGUGUGUGCGAGUAUGCUGUGACAGAGAUUUCUGGGUUAUUAUUGUUUUGUUUGGUGGUAUGGGGCAGAGGAACACAGGCCCCCAUCUCCCUCCCCCUCCCAAGAAGCAUACUGGAAGAGUUUUGGCAAACUUUUGGAGGCAUUUCACUUUCUCUAUUUUUGGGAGAUUUUUGACCUUUCUUAAAGACUUUAAUUGUCUGGGAUUGUCACAUCUAAUUUCCUUAAAUAACCAUGAGAGGAAAAAAAUUGCCAAGAAAACGAAAGCCAUAAUGAAAUCUGCACUAUUUUGGGACACAGAAAGGAGCUUACAUACCACACCAAGUGUGUCAAGCCUGUGGAGAACUCAUCUGAGCCAAACUGUCAAAGUGCACUAGAUACAACCAAAUGCAAUAGGCUUAGUUGUGGUGGUUCUAAUGAAACAAAUGAAGAGAGAAAUAUAUGACAACCAGAGCUGGAUUUACAACACCGGCAGGCCUGUGAAGAAUGAAAAAGUAUCUGGAGGUACAAUGGUGGGUUUUAACUGAAACCAACUCAUGGGGGACUUGUGGGUAAUUCAUUCUUCUUGGCAUUUGAAAAAUUCAAGGCUGUGCG
Molecule: long non-coding RNA, 1022 nt
Filed under: Crocodylus porosus (Australian saltwater crocodile)
Lineage: Eukaryota; Metazoa; Chordata; Crocodylia; Crocodylidae
Description: lncRNA (ENSCPRG00005017333.1)
Source: RNAcentral